This 459-nucleotide ribosomal RNA is filed under the name uncultured bacterium. RNAcentral describes it as "partial 16S ribosomal RNA". It matches the Rfam family "Bacterial small subunit ribosomal RNA", at positions 338 to 795 of the family's 1533-position model. The record is from RNAcentral.
CCUACGGGUGGCAGCAGUGAGGAAUAUUGGUCAAUGGGCGCGAGCCUGAACCAGCCAAGUAGCGUGAAGGAUGACUGCCCUACGGGUUGUCAACUUCUUUUAUAAAGGAAUAAAGUGAGGCACGUGUGCCUCUUUGCAUGUACUUUAUGAAUAAGGAUCGGCUACUCCGUGUCAGCAGCCGCGGUAAUGCGGAAGAUUCGGGCGUUAUCCGGAUUUAUUUGGUUUAAAGGGAGCGUAGAUGGGUUGUUAAGUCAGUUGUGAAAGUUUGCGGCGCAACCGUAAAAUUGCAAUUGAUACUGGCAGCCUUGAGUACAGUAGAGGUAGGCGGAAUUCGUGGUGUAGCGGUGAAAUGCUUAGAUAUCACGAAGAACUCCGAUUGCGAAGGCAGCCUACUAAACUGCCACUGACAUUGAUGCUCGAAAGUGUGGGUAUCAAACAGGAUUAGAUACCCUAGUAGUC